This 1360-nucleotide ribosomal RNA is filed under the name uncultured Chloroflexota bacterium. Its description in RNAcentral is "uncultured Chloroflexi bacterium 16S ribosomal RNA". It matches the Rfam family "Bacterial small subunit ribosomal RNA". The record is from RNAcentral. Lineage: Bacteria; Bacillati; Chloroflexota.
GUUACUGGCGGACGGGUGAGUAACACGUAGGUGACCUGCCCCGAAAUGGGGGAUAACUACUGGAAAUGGUAGCUAAUACCCCAUGUGGGCCGUCAUUCUGUUGGCGGAUUAAGGCUCCGGAGCUUCGGGAUGGGCCUGCGGCCGAUUAGCUAGUUGGCAAGGAAAUGGCCUACCAAGGCGAUGAUCGGUAGCUGGACUGAGAGGACUAUCAGUCACACUGGCACUGAAACCCGGGGCAGACUCCUACGGGAGGCAUCAGUAAGGAAUAUUGCGCACUGGAGGAAACCCUGACGCAGCAACGCCGCGUGCUCUAUGAAGGUCUUCGGAUUGUCUAAGCCCUUUUCUGGGAGAUGACAAAGGACAGUACCCCAGGAAUAAGUCUCGGCUAACUACGUGCCAGCAGCCGCGAUAAAACGUAUGAUGCAAGCGUUAUCCGGAUUUACUGGCGUAAAGGGCGUCUAGGCGGUGUCUUAAGUUGAGCGUGAAAUCUCCCGGCUCAACUGGCAGGAGUCGCCCGAUACUGGGACACUUAAGGGCAGGAGAUGAAAGUGGAAUUCCCGGAGUGCUGAUGGAAUACUUAGAUAUCGGGAGGAACACCAGUGGUCAAGGCGCCUCUCUGGCCUGUACAUGACGCUGAGGGGCGAAAGAACGGGUAACGAACGGCAUUAAAUCCCCCCGGGAGACCACGCUGUACACGAAUGGAUACUAGGUGUUGGUGGUUAUUGAUCACCAUCAGUGCCGCAGCUAACGCGUUAAGUAUCUCGCCUGGGGACUACGAGCGCAAGGCUAAAACUCAAAGGAAUUGACGGGGGCCCGCACAAGCAGCGGAGCGUGUGGUUUAAUUCGAGGCUACGCGAAGAACCUUACUUGGGCUUGACAUGUUAGUGGUAGUGAAGCGAAAGCGGAACGUACCCUUCGGGGAGCUAGCACAGGUAUUGCAUGGCUGUCGUCAGCUCGUGCCGUGAGGUGUUAGGUUAAGUCCUGUAACGAGCCCAACCCUUGUCUCUAGUUGUACUUAUAUAGUGAGACCUUCAGGGUAUACCUGGAGGAAGGCGGGGAUGACGUCAACUCAGCAUGUCCUUUAUGUGCAGGGCGACACACACGAUACAAUGUCCGGUACAACGGGUUGCCAAAACGCGAGGCGGAGCUAAUCCUUCAAAGCCGGUUUCAGUUCGGAUUGCAGUCUGCAACUCGAAUACAUGAAGCUGGAGUUGCUAGUAACUGCAGGUCAGCCACGUUGCGGUGAAUUCGUUCCCGGGCCUUGUACACACCCCCCGUCACGUCAUGAAAGCUGCCAACACCUGAAGUCGGUGGGCUAACUAACAAGAGAGGCAACCGUCUAGGGUGGGGUUGGUGAUUG